GACGAACGCUGGCGGCGUGCUUAACACAUGCAAGUCGAACGGUAAGGCCCUUCGGGGUACACGAGUGGCGAACGGGUGAGUAACACGUGGGUGAUCUGCCCUGCACUUCGGGAUAAGCCUGGGAAACUGGGUCUAAUACCGGAUAGGACCCUGGGAUGCAUGUCCUGGGGUGGAAAGCUUUUGCGGUGUGGGAUGGGCCCGCGACCUAUCAGCUUGUUGGUGGGGUGAUGGCCUACCAAGGCGACGACGGGUAGCCGGCCUGAGAGGGUGACCGGCCACAAUGGGACUGAGAUACGGCCCAGAGUACUACGGGGGGCAGGAGUGGGGAAUAUUGCUCAAUGGGCGAAAGCCUGAUGCAGCGACGCCGCGUGAGGGAUGACGGCCUUCGGGUUGUAAACGUCUUUCAGCACCGACGAAGCGCAAGUGACGGUAGGUGCAGAAGAAGGACCGGCCAACUACGUGCCAGCCGCCGCCGUAA
This 478-nucleotide ribosomal RNA is filed under the name uncultured bacterium. Its description in RNAcentral is "partial 16S ribosomal RNA". It matches the Rfam family "Bacterial small subunit ribosomal RNA", at positions 28 to 523 of the family's 1533-position model. The record is from RNAcentral.